CAGGUGGCAGCAACAAGCCCCGAGGAGGAGGGAUGUGGUUAACGAAUUCCACGAGGACCCAGAGCACAGAGAGAGCUGGAAUGCGGAGGGGGCCCCCUUCCAGCUAGAUCUGGAAAGGAGGUCAGGGUUUAGAUACUCAGAGCCGGACAGGAGAAACCUUUCCUAUAGAGGUGUGAGGAUAGAGGUGUUACAUUUGAGGACAGAUAAUGGACCCAUGUGGCAGGGUUUCCAGGAAGGUUAGAUCCUGGAAACGUUACAGAAGAAAUUAAGAAUUAAAGGUCUGCAAACACUUAUGAGAGAACAGUAAUUGUUAGGAAUCACUAAGCAUGGAUUCACUAAGAACGAGUCAUUUCCUGUUUUUUCUAGGAUCACCAGACUGGUAAACUAGAGGGUGUUGUCAAGGCCGUUCUUACCAUUGGCUGGAAGUCUCUAUCGUCCUGGGCAGGAGUGGAACAGGAGGCCCUGAGUUCUAAUGUGUAUCUCAUUUCAGCAGGGCGCCUGACACAGCCAGGCUGAGUGAGAUGCUUAUCAAGAGUGGGGUUUGCAUGAGAGAACAUUCAUUCCCAAAGGCAGCUGGUGCCAGACUGAUGGCUGGAUGGAGGACAGGCUGCAGUAUGGACAGGGGCUUCACAUUUGACCCUUUCCCCGUCUCCAUCAAUGUCUGCCAACGGCAAUAAGGAAACACACACAGGCUGAUCUAUCAGGAAAAAUAAAAGUAUUCACUGAUAUAUCAAAGAAAGGUCUUUGGGGACUAGAGCAACGUCUAAAACAAGCAGCAGAAAUACAAUGGGUAUUCAGCAUAAAAUGCUGGGCCUGUGGCCAAAAAGUCAACUGCUUAAGAAGCAGAUGGAGAAAUAUGUCUUAGAAGAGGUGCUGCAAGAAGAGACCUGGGGCUUUUAGUUCACGGCAAGUGAAACCAGUGUGAUGUGCCUGGAAGACUAUAUUCAGGAAGCAUCCAGUGUCUGUAUGGGGCUACCCUGACGGCGUGGCUGGUAAAGAAUCUGUCUGCAAUGUAGAACACACAUGAGAUGCGGGUUCGAUCCCUGGGUCGGGCAGACACCCUGGAGGAGGAAAUGGGCAAUGCAUUCAAUAUUCUCGCCUGAAAAAUCCCAUGGACAGAGGAGCCUGGUGGGUUACAGGCCAAAGGGUUGCCAAGAGUUGGACACCACUGAACGACUAAGCACGCAGUGUCUAUAUAUUCUCUGAUUCAGCAAAUCCUUAUUUCACCAUGCAGUUUGUGCUUCAGGCACUGACUGAGUUGGGCAGUAAAUAUACCAGAGGACCAUUCAGGUGAGGUACCUACCCAUAUAUGGUCCAUAGUUUUCUAGGGCAAAGAAGCAAACACACACAGAUUUGCUGAAACUUGUGACGGACAUAAACGAAGGUCAGAAAGAGUGUGAUGAGGGAUGUACUUUUCCUGGGGUGGCCAGGCCAGGCCAGGCCUCUCUGGGAAAGUGGCAUUGAAGCCAAGACCAUAUGAAGGGGAAGGGGAGACAGGGAGAUGGAACAUUCCAGGCAGGACAAGGGGUCCAUUGGCCAUGACCAUGGAAGGAGCUUGCUGUCUUUCCAAAACUGAAAGCCCAGUGAGGCCUGUGCAUAUUCGUGGCUGCCAACGUCCACUCCCCCGUUCCUCUCUGGGGAUGGUACCACCUUCCCAGCCUCCCUUGCAGCUGAGUACCUUGGGCUGAGUUCUCAGCAGUGAGAUGCUAAGAGGUGGUCUGUGUUGGGACCCGGGGUCCUAAAGAGGUGGACACGCCUCCUCACUCUCUGGGUUUCCUCCUGGUUGCAUCUGGGGCCUGGCAGCCAGGCAGCCUGGACCCCAUGGAACUGCGGUGCCCCAGCUGGAAGGGCCCUGGGUCCCUGAAUGACUGCAGAGAACCGGGCCACUUGCCGAUACCUGGAUCACUCACCUCACCCAGGGACACUGACCAUUUGAAGCAUGUAAAGCACAACAACAUUUAGGAUUCCAAAAAGCAAGUCAACGAAAAUCUGUUUAAGACACCACAGUUGUUUAGUCUGGAAAAGAGGUUUCUUCGGGGUGGCACGUCUUCAAGCACUGUGAAGGAGGAAUGAAGCUGGAAUGGAGUAACUUCUACAGGGGCGACGGGCGGGUCGGAUUUACUCGACGAGGCAGAUUCUGAAUCAACAGAGGGGAGACGUUCCUAAUGACCAGGGAUGAUUCGGAAGAGGCCAGAUGGCUUCAGGAUCCGAGGUUUCUCCCUGCCGCUGUGUCCCAGCAGGGAUCAGCUGCCCACCUGCCCACCUGUAAGGAGGUGUUUACAGGACUGAUUCUGAGAGCCCACACUGGUCAUUCGAUGCUUGCACUCGCAUCAAAGUAGCCUUUUAAGGAAAGCCAAGAGUAACGAAUUCAGAUUUUCAUGACUUUAUUCUUGAGAUAAUCCAAAAAAUAUUUGGGGACUAGCAUUUUUUUUUAACUUAUCUUCGGAGAUGAAUGAUCCAUUUAGCCCAAGGAACUCAAAGUACUUUACACCCUUGUCUCAUUCAGGCUUGUCACAUAUCUGAGCUGCUGUGUCAGGGGCAAGACCAUCAAACCCCCUCUCUCAGAUAAGGAGAAGGACUCACAAAGAGGGCCAGUGAGUUGUCCAAGGUCACAGUGAGUCACGGGCACGGUGGUAGGGCAGGCUCCUCACCCGAGGUCUCCCACGCUGCUCCAAGCCCAUGCAAAGGGGACCCUCAGCUAGGAAAGUCUCCCACGGACAGGAGGAACCAACCUAAACCAACAGUCUUUCCAGAGUUGGAAAUGACCUGAGACAUUUCAAGUUCAAUCAGUUUCAUUUCGCAGGUGAGGAAACUGAGGCUCACAUGAGGUCACCUGGAGUGAGGCAGAGCUAGGACUCAAGCCCAGUGCCCAGGAUCACAUCCUGCCUACUCACAAAUGGCCCGGGAACAGCCCCUACACAAUUACCUGGAAUCAACUGGGUCAUCACCAUUAGCUCUGCUGUCUGGAAAUCUAAAGGCUCAUAUUGGCUUUGGCCACCAAAGAGAGGAAACACUCUGCAAUGCUCGAAGACUCACAGCGGAGGGGGGCGGGGAGCAUCGUUUGUGCCUUGUAUUACAAAGUCCAAAGGCAAAACAUAUGUUUCCCAUUUGUCCUGGGAUGGGAAACUUUUCCUUUCGCUUAAUCUCGGUUUAAACAAACAGAGAGACUGCCCUUUUCGUAAACUCACCCAACGUCAAAUAUUGUUCACUCGCCCAGCAUCGGCUUACUAAGCCACUACACAGCGCCUUUGCCUCAUGU
Long non-coding RNA from Bos taurus (domestic cattle), 3259 nucleotides. Lineage: Eukaryota; Metazoa; Chordata; Mammalia; Artiodactyla; Bovidae. The record is from Ensembl.